This 253-nucleotide ribosomal RNA is filed under the name uncultured bacterium. RNAcentral's name for it is "partial 16S ribosomal RNA". It matches the Rfam family "Bacterial small subunit ribosomal RNA", at positions 524 to 776 of the family's 1533-position model. The record is from RNAcentral.
GACGUAGGGGGCCAGCGUUGCUCGGAAUAACUGGGCGUAAAGGGUCCGUAGGCGGUGUGGCAAGUCGGGAGUGAAAUCUCUGGGCUUAACUCAGGGGCUGCUUCCAAAACUGCUGUGCUUGAGUGUGGGAGAGGCGCGUGGAAUUGCAGGUGUAGCGGUGAAAUGCGUAGAUAUCUGCAGGAACACCCGUGGCGAAGGCGGCUCGCUGGACCGCAACUGACGCUGAGGAACGAAAGCUAGGGGAGCAAACAGG